Molecule: ribosomal RNA, 253 nt
Filed under: uncultured bacterium
Lineage: Bacteria
Description: partial 16S ribosomal RNA
Rfam family: Bacterial small subunit ribosomal RNA
Source: RNAcentral
UACGAGGGGGGCAAGCGUUGUCCGGAUUUAUUGGGCGUAAAGAGCUCGUAGGCGGUCUGUCGCGUCGGAUGUGAAAACCCAGGGCUCAACCCUGGGCCUGCAUUCGAUACGGGCAGACUAGAGUACGGCAGGGGAGACUGGAAUUCCUGGUGUAGCGGUGAAAUGCGCAGAUAUCAGGAGGAACACCGGUGGCGAAGGCGGGUCUCUGGGCCGAAACUGACGCUGAGGAGCGAAAGCGUGGGGAGCGAACAGG